Nycticebus coucang (slow loris) is the source of this 750-nucleotide RNA transcript. It is a transcript of the gene named cytochrome c oxidase subunit 2-like, with no coding region annotated. The record is from RefSeq and is a predicted model, not a curated record. Lineage: Eukaryota; Metazoa; Chordata; Mammalia; Primates; Lorisidae. The transcript has a single exon.
AUUAGUAAAAACAAUACAUAACUUUGUCAAAGUUAAAUUAUAGGUUAAACCCCUAUAUAUCUUUAUGGCUCAUCCAAUACAGAUUGGGUUUCAAGACGCUGCCUCCCCUAUUAUAGAAGAACUUUUAUAUUUCCAUGACCACACUCUUAUAAUCGUAUUCAUAAUUAGCUCACUAGUCUUAUAUAUUAUUUCCCUUAUACUAUCAACUGAACUCACGCAUACAAGCACCAGGGACGCACAAGAAGUGGAGACAGUAUGAACUAUCCUUCCCGCUAUAAUUUUAAUCCUAAUUGCCCUCCUAUCCCUCCAAAUCCUCUAUAUAAUAGACGAAAUCAACACUCCUUCUAUAACUCUAAAAACAAUAGGACAUCAAUGGUACUGAAGCUACGAGUACACAGACUACGACAACCUAUGCUUUGACUCAUACAUAGUGACCACUCCUGAUUUAGAGCCCGGGGAUCUCCGCCUGCUAGAAGUUGACAACCGGGUAAUCCUUCCCACAGAGAUAUCUAUCCGAAUACUCAUCUCUUCUGAAGACGUCCUUCACUCAUGAACAGUUCCAGCCCUAGGAAUCAAAACUGACGCAAUCCCUGGGCGCCUAAACCAAGACACCGUUAUGACUUCCCGACCAGGAAUUUAUUACGGGCAGUGCUCCGAAAUCUGCGGGUCCAAUCACAGCUUCAUGCCAAUCGUAUUAGAAUUAGUACCACUAAAGUACUUUGAAGAAUGACUACUUAAAUCUCUCUAGAU